GACGAACGCUGGCGGCGUGCUUAACACAUGCAAGUCGAACGGAAAGGCCCUGCUUUUGUGGGGUGCUCGAGUGGCGAACGGGUGAGUAACACGUGAGUAACCUGCCCUUGACUUUGGGAUAACUUCAGGAAACUGGGGCUAAUACCGGAUAGGAGCUCCUGCUGCAUGGUGGGGGUUGGAAAGUUUCGGCGGUUGGGGAUGGACUCGCGGCUUAUCAGCUUGUUGGUGGGGUAGUGGCUUACCAAGGCUUUGACGGGUAGCCGGCCUGAGAGGGUGACCGGCAACAUGGGGACUGAGAUACGGCCCAGACUCCUACGGGAGGCAGCAGUGGGGAAUAUUGCACAAUGGGCGGAAGCCUGAUGAAGAAACGCCGCGUGCGGGAUGACGGCCUUCGGGUUGUAAACCGCUUUCGCCUGUGACGAAGCGUGAGUGACGGUAAUGGGUAAAGAAGCACCGGCUAACUACGU
RNAcentral lists this ribosomal RNA (467 nucleotides) under uncultured bacterium. RNAcentral's name for it is "partial 16S ribosomal RNA". It matches the Rfam family "Bacterial small subunit ribosomal RNA", at positions 28 to 506 of the family's 1533-position model. The record is from RNAcentral.